CCCUAUAUAAUAAAUAAAUUAUUUAAAUGAAUCAAUAAAAAUAAAAUAUACCUUUGUGCAGUUAUGAUUUCAGUUUAGGCCUACAAAAGUAGUACUCUUUCUCCCCACCAAUCGGAGCAUACACUUUAGCUUGGAAGAUAACUGCAGAUUGAUCUCCAUCAGCAUCCACUACAUCAUCCUUGGCUGUAAAGGUGAGAUAAAAUUCAUCGCCAGCACAAAACACUGAAUUUGCCUUGAGGACCUCCACAAACUGGUAAUUUGUAUUCUACAUUUUAAGAAACAAGGUGAAAAAGAGAAUUAAAAAAAAAGAGUAAGGAUGAAAGAAGCAUCCAGUGUACAACCCGCACACCACAUACUUAUCAGAGUUGAACCUGCUGAUUGCCCAUUCUGAACA
This 394-nucleotide long non-coding RNA is filed under the name Actinidia chinensis (golden kiwifruit). Its description in RNAcentral is "long non-coding RNA (ACHI_LNC000193)". Lineage: Eukaryota; Viridiplantae; Streptophyta; Magnoliopsida; Ericales; Actinidiaceae. The record is from RNAcentral.